GACGAACGCUGGCGGCGUGCUUAACACAUGCAAGUCGAACGGAAAGGCCCCCACCUUGGUGGGGGUGCUCGAGUGGCGAACGGGUGAGUAACACGUGGGUGAUCUGCCCUGUACUUCGGGAUAAGCUUGGGAAACUGGGUCUAAUACCGGAUAGGACCAUGGUUUAGUGUCUCAUGGUGGAAAAAUUAUUGUUUUGGUGCAGGAUGAGCUCGCGGCCUAUCAGCUUGUUGGUGGGGUAAUGGCCUACCAAGGCGUCGACGGGUAGCCGGCCUGAGGGGGUGGACGGCCACAUUGGGACUGAGAUACGGCCCAGACUCCUACGGGAGGCAGCAGUGGGGAAUAUUGCACAAUGGGCGCAAGCCUGAUGCAGCGACGCCGCGUGGGGGAUGACGGCCUUCGGGUUGUAAACUCCUUUCGUUAGGGACGAAGCCACACCUUUUUUGGGUGUGGUGACGGUACCUUUGUUAAGAAGCACCGGCUAACUACGUG
Molecule: ribosomal RNA, 489 nt
Filed under: uncultured bacterium
Lineage: Bacteria
Description: partial 16S ribosomal RNA
Rfam family: Bacterial small subunit ribosomal RNA
Source: RNAcentral